UACGUAGGGGGCAAGCGUUGUCCGGAUUUAUUGGGCGUAAAGAGCGUGUAGGCGGCCUGACAGGUCUGCUGUGAAAACUCGAGGCUCAACCUCGAGAUGUCGGCGGAAACCGUCUGGCUAGAGUCCGGAAGAGGAGAGUGGAAUUCCCUGUGUAGCGGUGAAAUGCGCAGAUAUCGGGAGGAACACCGGUGGCGAAGGCGGUUCUCUGGCCUUACCUGACGCUGGAGGAGCGAAAGCGUAGGGAGCGAACAGG
This 253-nucleotide ribosomal RNA is filed under the name uncultured bacterium. Its description in RNAcentral is "partial 16S ribosomal RNA". It matches the Rfam family "Bacterial small subunit ribosomal RNA", at positions 524 to 776 of the family's 1533-position model. The record is from RNAcentral.